This 370-nucleotide ribosomal RNA is filed under the name uncultured bacterium. RNAcentral's name for it is "partial 16S ribosomal RNA". It matches the Rfam family "Bacterial small subunit ribosomal RNA", at positions 338 to 705 of the family's 1533-position model. The record is from RNAcentral.
CCUACGGAGGGUUGCAGUGAGGAAUAUUGGUCAAUGGGCGGGAGCCUGAACCAGCCAAGUCGCGUGAGGGAAGACGGUCCUAUGGAUUGUAAACCUCUUUAGGCGGGGAGCAAUGCCGGGCACGUGUGCCCGGAGGGAGAGUACCCGCAGAAUAAGCACCGGCUAACUCCGUGCCAGCAGCCGCGGUAAUACGGAGGAUGCGAGCGUUAUCCGGAUUUAUUGGGUUUAAAGGGUGCGUAGGCGGAUUUUUAAGUCAGCGGUAAAAUGGCCGGGCUCAACCCGGGCCGGCGGUUGCAACUGGGGAUGUUGAGUGGGAGAGAAAUAUGCGGAGUGCGUGGUGUAGCGGUGAGAUGCAUAGAUAUCACGCAGA